AUUGAACGCUGGCGGCGUGCUUAACACAUGCAAGUCGAACGGAGUGGCGAACGGGUGAGUAACACGUGGGUGACCUGCCCUGCACUUCGGGAUAAGCCUGGGAAACUGGGUCUAAUACCGGCUAGUGGGGGAUGGGCCAGCGGGCUAUCAGCUUGGUGGUGGGGUCAUGGCCUACCAAGGCGGCGACGGGAAGCCGGCCUGAGAGGGUGGAUGGCCACAGUGGGACUGAGCGACGGCCCAGACGCGUACGGGAGGCAGCAGUGGGGAAUAUUGCACAAUGGGCGGCAGCCUGAUGCAGCGACGCCGCGUGGGGGAUGACGGCCUUCGGGUUGUAAACUCCUUUCACCAUCGACGCGGGAGAUGGAGAAGAAGCACCGGCUAACUACGUGCCAGCAGCCGCGGUAAUAC
This 408-nucleotide ribosomal RNA is filed under the name uncultured bacterium. RNAcentral describes it as "partial 16S ribosomal RNA". It matches the Rfam family "Bacterial small subunit ribosomal RNA", at positions 28 to 526 of the family's 1533-position model. The record is from RNAcentral.